GCCUGGGUGGCUCAGUCGGUUGAGCAUCUGACUUCGGCUCAGGUCAUGAUCUCGCAGUCUGUGAGUUCGAGCCCCACGUCAGGCU
This 85-nucleotide transfer RNA is filed under the name Felis catus (domestic cat). It matches the Rfam family "tRNA". Rfam says of the family: Transfer RNA (tRNA) molecules are approximately 80 nucleotides in length. Their secondary structure includes four short double-helical elements and three loops (D, anti-codon, and T loops). Further hydrogen bonds mediate the characteristic L-shaped molecular structure. tRNAs have two regions of fundamental functional importance: the anti-codon, which is responsible for specific mRNA codon recognition, and the 3' end, to which the tRNAs corresponding amino acid is attached (by aminoacyl-tRNA synthetases). tRNAs cope with the degeneracy of the genetic code in two manners: having more than one tRNA (with a specific anti-codon) for a particular amino acid; and 'wobble' base-pairing, i.e. permitting non-standard base-pairing at the 3rd anti-codon position. Lineage: Eukaryota; Metazoa; Chordata; Mammalia; Carnivora; Felidae. The record is from Rfam by way of RNAcentral.